RNAcentral lists this ribosomal RNA (898 nucleotides) under Phialemonium atrogriseum. RNAcentral's name for it is "LSU rRNA". It matches the Rfam family "Eukaryotic large subunit ribosomal RNA", at positions 38 to 966 of the family's 3401-position model. Lineage: Eukaryota; Fungi; Ascomycota; Sordariomycetes; Cephalothecales; Cephalothecaceae. The record is from RNAcentral.
GCAUAUCAAUAAGCGGAGGAAAAGAAACCAACAGGGAUUGCCCUAGUAACGGCGAGUGAAGCGGCAACAGCUCGAAUUUGAAAUCUGGCCUCGGCCCGAGUUGUAAUCUGUAGAGGACGCUUUUGGCGCGGUGCCUUCCGAGUUCCCUGGAACGGGACGCCACAGAGGGUGAGAGCCCCGUAAGGUCGGACACCAAGCCUGUGUAAAGCCCCUUCGACGAGUCGAGUAGCUUGGGAAUGCUGCUCUAAGCGGGAGGUAUACUUCUUCUAAAGCUAAAUAUUGGCCAGAGACCGAUAGCGCACAAGUAGAGUGAUCGAAAGAUGAAAAGCACUUUGAAAAGAGGGUCAAAUAGUACGUGAAAUUGUUGAAAGGGAAGCGCUUGUGAUCAGACUCGCGCCGGGCGGAUCAUCCAGUGGUCUCCACUGGUGCACUCCGGCCGGCGCGGGCCAGCGUCGGCUGUUGCGGGGGGACAAAAGCUCUGGGAACGUGGCUCUCUCCGGGGAGUGUUAUAGCCCUCUGCAGAAUACCCCCGCGGCGGCCGAGGUCCGCGCAUUGCAAGGACGCUGGCGUAAUGGUCAUCAGCGACCCGUCUUGAAACACGGACCAAGGAGUCGAGGUUUUGCGCGAGUGUUCGGGUGCAAAGCCCCAGCGCGUAAUUAACGUGAACGUAGGUGAGAGCUUCGGCGCAUCAUCGACCGAUCCUGAUGUAUUCGGAUGGAUUUGAGUAGGAGCGUAAAGCCUCGGACCCGAAAGAUGGUGAACUAUGCCUGUAUAGGGUGAAGCCAGAGGAAACUCUGGUGGAGGCUCGCAGCGGUUCUGACGUGCAAAUCGAUCGUCAAAUAUGGGCAUGGGGGGCGAAAGACUAAUCGAACCAUCUAGUAGCUGGUUACCGCCGAAG